AGAGAAUAGAUACCCUGGUAGUCCACGCCGUAAACGAUGGGUACUAGCUUUGGCGGGUCUUGACCCCUGCUGAAAGCGGAGCUAAAACGCACUAAGUACCCGCCUGGGAAGUACGGUCGCAAGACUAAAACUACAAAGGAAAUUGACGGGGGCCCGGCACAAGCGGUGGAUCAUGUGGUUUAAUUCGAAGCAACGCGAAGAACCUUACCUGGGUUUGACAUCUCCGGACAAACGUAGAGAUACGUCUUUUGUAGCAAUACAACCGGAAGACAGGUGCUGCAUGGCUGUCGUCAGCUCGUGUGGUGACAUGUUGGGUUAAGUCCCGCAACGAGCGCAACCCUUGUCCUUAGUUGCCAGCAUUCAGUUGGGCUCUCUAAGGAGACUGCCGUGGUUAACACGGAGGAAGGUGGGGAUGACGUCAAGUCCUCAUGGCCUUUAUAUCCAGGGCGACACACGUGAUACAAUGGACGAUACAGAGGGACGCGAAGUGGCGACACGGAGCUAAUCUCAAAAAAGUCGUUCUCAGUUCGGAUUGGAGU
Molecule: ribosomal RNA, 539 nt
Filed under: uncultured bacterium
Lineage: Bacteria
Description: bacterial SSU rRNA
Rfam family: Bacterial small subunit ribosomal RNA
Source: RNAcentral